UGAUAAUAUUAGUACAGUUCAGAUAACCAACGGGUCAAAUUAUACUUGUGAGAUAUAUUAUUAUGAUACACAAAUAAUAGACCAAGAUGAAGGUAAUAUAACUGAGCCACUAUUUUGUAAAUCGAUAUCCAAAUUUUAUAUUUGUAUGAAUUGUACAUUUGCCCAAUGGCUUCAUAAUAAACUUUUAGGAAUAAUUAAUAAUUUAUUGAGUUUAAACCCAC
Molecule: non-coding RNA, 221 nt
Organism: Cinara cedri
Lineage: Eukaryota; Metazoa; Arthropoda; Insecta; Hemiptera; Aphididae
Source: the annotation of a GenBank genome assembly